UGGCUCAGAUGGUAAAGAAUCUGCCUGCAACGCAGGAGGCCCAGGUUCAAUCCCUGG
RNAcentral lists this transfer RNA (57 nucleotides) under Bos grunniens (domestic yak). It matches the Rfam family "tRNA", at positions 8 to 63 of the family's 71-position model. From Rfam's summary of the family: Transfer RNA (tRNA) molecules are approximately 80 nucleotides in length. The record is from Rfam by way of RNAcentral. Lineage: Eukaryota; Metazoa; Chordata; Mammalia; Artiodactyla; Bovidae.